GAGGUAAUAGCUCAGUGGUAGAGUGCCUGCUUAGCAUGCACGAGGUCCUGGGUUCAGUCCCCAGUUCCUCCA
RNAcentral lists this transfer RNA (72 nucleotides) under Camelus bactrianus (Bactrian camel). It matches the Rfam family "tRNA". From Rfam's summary of the family: Transfer RNA (tRNA) molecules are approximately 80 nucleotides in length. Their secondary structure includes four short double-helical elements and three loops (D, anti-codon, and T loops). RNAcentral also lists the same sequence under 2 other names. The record is from Rfam by way of RNAcentral. Lineage: Eukaryota; Metazoa; Chordata; Mammalia; Artiodactyla; Camelidae.